UCGCCGGAUCGCGUGCUGCUCGCUAGGGGUGUCGUCUUAGAGAUCGGGACUGGCUGGGAUUGCAAAAAAUCAACAUGCCUUUGGCUAGAGAUUUACUACACCCGUCCUUGGAAGAGGAAAAGAAAAAAACAUAAAAAGAAACGGCAAGUUCAGAGCCCAAAUUCCUAUUUUAUGGACGUAAAAUGUCCAGGUUGCUACAAGAUUACCACGGUUUUCAGCCGUGCUCAGACGGUGGUUCUUUGUGUAGGCUGUUCAACAGUGUUGUGCCAGCCAACAGGAGGAAAGGCCAGACUCACAGAGGGGUGUUCGUUUAGAAGAAGGCAACACUAAUGAUCCACACAGCCUCUCGAAUUUGUGUUAUAUCGCAGAAAGCCUUAUCAGUUCAGUAAUUCCAGUUAUCUACCAAGAUAAUGUAAUUAUGUUUAAUUUUGUAAGGUUUACAACAGUGAUGUCCUAUUUUGGUGUCAGUUUUUCAAUAAAGUUUUGAUUAUGGGCAAAAAAAAAAA
Molecule: RNA transcript, 506 nt
Organism: Odobenus rosmarus divergens (Pacific walrus)
Lineage: Eukaryota; Metazoa; Chordata; Mammalia; Carnivora; Odobenidae
Gene name: 40S ribosomal protein S27-like
Exons: 1
Source: RefSeq, a predicted model, not a curated record